UAAAGCAAUCGGCAGCUAUACAUGCAAGUCGAACGGAUCUGAGUUCUUCGGAACUCAGGUUAGUGGCGCACGGGUGCGUAACGCGUAUGCAACCUACCUUCCACUGGGGGAUAGCCCGGGGAAACCCGGAUUAAUACCGCAUAUGACCACAUGAGGGCAUCCGAGUGUGGUAAAAGCCGAGGCGGUGGAAGAUGGGCAUGCGUGCCAUUAGCUAGAUGGCGGGGUAACGGCCCACCAUGGCGACGAUGGCUAGGGGUUCUGAGAGGAUGGUCCCCCACACUGGUACUGAGACACGGACCAGACUCCUACGGGAGGCAGCAGUAGGGAAUAUUGGGCAAUGGCCGAGAGGCUGACCCAGCCAUGCCGCGUGCAGGAAGAAGGCCUUCUGGGUUGUAAACUGCUUUUGUAUGGGAAGAAAACGCCCCUGCGGGGGUAACUGACGGUACCAUACGAAUAAGCACCGGCUAACUCCGUGCCAGCAGCCGCGGUAAU
This 492-nucleotide ribosomal RNA is filed under the name Pontibacter litorisediminis. RNAcentral's name for it is "bacterial SSU rRNA". It matches the Rfam family "Bacterial small subunit ribosomal RNA", at positions 32 to 524 of the family's 1533-position model. The record is from RNAcentral. Lineage: Bacteria; Pseudomonadati; Bacteroidota; Cytophagia; Cytophagales; Hymenobacteraceae.